Long non-coding RNA from Cucurbita moschata (crookneck pumpkin), 1791 nucleotides. RefSeq lists it as uncharacterized. The record is from RefSeq and is a predicted model, not a curated record. NCBI's taxonomy places the organism in Eukaryota, Viridiplantae, Streptophyta, Magnoliopsida, Cucurbitales, Cucurbitaceae. The transcript is spliced from 2 exons.
AUAUUAUUAUAAGAGGGUCUGGAUUACUGACAAGAAUUUGAUUAUGAUUAGUUAUCUUUUUUAUUAAUUUGGGUAUAAAAUUGGAGUAAAACUCAUGAAAUGUAGUCCUAAAAGGGCUUAAAAAAAAAAAAAAGAAAGAGAAAGGAAAACUGAAAGGAUGGGGUUCUAAAAGUAGUAUGUAUUUGUUUUAUUAUUGAAAUAAAUAAUGUCAACCACCGAUAUGAAAAAGGUUCCAAUAGCCCCCAAUGAAAACCUGAUUCCAUAAAUAAGUAAAUAAAUAAAUAACCUUAUAGUGAUACGGCAUUGAGUUUGGUGUGAACUUAAUAAUUUGUCCUUUGACACAUUGGUUUGAAAACCAUUCAUCAGGCGCCGAGUGAUAUGACCUACAAACAUGCCAUCCCCAUCAUUUCUCUUUCUUUUCCCUCUCCACUCUACCACAAAACUAAGAUACAUGAAAUAGAUGGAGGUUGAUCUUUGUAAUAAACCCAACUCAUGGGUUCAAAUUUUUAUGAUCUCAAACUACAGGAAUCUUAACUUGAAGGCAACAAUAAUAAAACUGAAUUACAUUUUUAGGGUUUUGUGGUACACAUUAUUAUAUUAAACGGAACUAGUUGCUACUCUAGUUUGAGGUGGGCAAUGGGCUUAAUACUUUUAGUUGAUCAAUUGACACAGAGAGAGAUCUGAGAAAAAUGGAGAAAGAAAAGACAGAUUGAUGGGAGGAGGAGGAGGAGGAGAAGGGAUUGGCAGAAAGUGACCAAAACAAAACCCUCAUCAUUAUUUAUUUGAUCUUUCUGUAUUUGCAAUUUGCACCCCAAACCCACCAAUCAAUCCCUCUCUCUCUCUCAUCCCUCAUGCAUCUCUGUCAUAUUAAUUAAUAACUCUUCUCUCUCUCUCUCUCUCUUUGAUUACUUACUGUGUAUUCACUUCUUUUCCAUCUUAAAUAGAACCCCAUCUGCUGCCUCUGCCCUAUAAACUUUCAUAUCCAUUUUCUCUCAUCCAUUUGUGCUCUCUUUUGGGUGGUUCAUGGGGUUUCCUUGGUUGGUUUCCCAGAUCACUUAAAUGUUGGAUUCAUAUUCCAAUCUUCAAGCGUGGAAGGCGAAAUCUAGACGUGUUUUCAUGUGGGUUUGUUGUUUUAGCAAAGGAUUUCCCAACAGAGUUUAUUGGCAUUCUGUCCACCUCCCCGGUUUCAGUGUUUGAUUCAAUACUUCUGGUUCUGUUCUUUGUUUCCUUUGUAAUAUGGGGAGGUGGGCAUACUGCCAACUGAGCUCUGUUGGAUUCUCUUUGUAAAAGCCCUCAUGAUGCCUUUCUCUCUUUUCAUCCUCUUCAUUUUACUUUCUCUUUUCUUGUUUUGCAGAAAUCUUUCUUCAAAGGUAGUAGUAACCCCAUCAUAGUUAUUCGUUUAUUAUUCUCUUUUGCUCUCUGAAGGUCUCUCAUCAUUCUGUUUUUCCACAGCCCACUACCAUCAUGAAGGUUUCUUUCUCAGCCGAAGAUGCUUCCAUUAUUACCUUCUCCUGAGGCGGCGCGUGCGUUUCUCGGUCGGCCAUUCACGGCGGCGCUUUCAGGCUACGUGCUUGUUUCGUCCCCCGCCGUCGGCUGCCAGCAGGAAAUGGUUUCGCAGAUGGUGUUUAUUUUAGGUCUGUUUGGUAUUGGAAUUAGAGCCUAUGAAGAUCUGAUACGAUCUUCUUCAAGCUUUGGAGCGAGCUAGCUAGGGUUUCGCCUUAUAAUUUUCUGCAGACGGACAGUCGUAGGGAAUAAUUCUCUCUCCAAUUUAUUAAAAAUCAUUCUGUUAAU